Molecule: transfer RNA, 69 nt
Filed under: Aphodius sp. APH01
Lineage: Eukaryota; Metazoa; Arthropoda; Insecta; Coleoptera; Scarabaeidae
Description: tRNA-Leu
Source: RNAcentral
AUUAUUUUGGCAGAUUAGUGCAUUAAAUUUAGAAUUUAAGUAUGUAUUUAUAUAAUUUUACAAAUAAUA